AUACGUAGGGUGCGAGCGUUGUCCGGAAUUACUGGGCGUAAAGAGCUCGUAGGGGGUUUGUCGCGUCGUCUGUGAAAUUCCGGGGCUUAACUCCGGGCGUGCAGGCGAUACGGGCAUAACUUGAGUACUGUAGGGGAGACUGGAAUUCCUGGAGUAGCGGUGAAAUGCGCAGAUAUCAGGAGGAACACCGGUGGCGAAGGGGGGUCUCUGGGCAGUAACGGACGCUGAGGAGCGAAAGCAUGGGUAGCGAACAGGAUUAGAUACCCUGGUAGCCCAUGCCGUAAACGGUGGGCGCUAGGUGUAGGGGUCUUCCACGACUUCUGUGCCGUAGCUAACGCAUUAAGCGCCCCGCCUGGGGAGUACGGCCGCAAGGCUAAAACUUAAAGGAAUUGACGGGG
This 398-nucleotide ribosomal RNA is filed under the name uncultured bacterium. RNAcentral's name for it is "partial 16S ribosomal RNA". It matches the Rfam family "Bacterial small subunit ribosomal RNA", at positions 523 to 918 of the family's 1533-position model. The record is from RNAcentral.